CAGGUGCGUUGACCUAUACACAUCGUGUCGUUAUUACAGUUCAUAUUCAUCCGCUGCACAAUAAUUUUUUACAGAUCAGACGUGACCCGUCGAGUAAUUGGUCCACGUGCAGUUCGUUUUUUACAUUCCGUGGAAGCUUGGCUGCAGAACCUCGGACGGCACAUAGCUGGCGUCGAUCCUUGGACAGUCCAGGUGGAGGCGCGCGCUGAAAGAAGAGUUCUUCUGUCUUCAACUGCGUCACUGGAACCGCUGAAAUGAAAAUUUCUAUACUAC
Molecule: long non-coding RNA, 273 nt
Organism: Schistocerca serialis cubense
Lineage: Eukaryota; Metazoa; Arthropoda; Insecta; Orthoptera; Acrididae
Exons: 3
Source: RefSeq, a predicted model, not a curated record